CUCUAGGUGCUCCGAGGGCCCGAGCCCGAGGCGCGAGUCCCCGCUGGGGACUCCGGCCGGAGCCAAGAGGGCUCUUGGCUUCCCUGCAGGAAAGAACUCAAGACAUGAGCCAAAGUUAACGUAGAAAGCAGCUUCCCUGAGCAGGGACGAUAAGCACGGAAACCCCUCCAUAGGCAGGACAAGGAGGACAGACCCCACCGUCGCCGGAGGUCGAGCUUAUAUCUGUAGCUUACAUGGAAAAUUGCUGAUAUGGGGAAGUGGAGAGUGGAGAAAAGUGGGAUUAACUUUAACCUACACAAGUGAUGUCACUUGGAUAAUGAUGCACCACAGAAAAGUAAAGAAUUGCAAACUUCUAGAAGCAGUGAUGAAAUAUAACCCUCAGUUGAAGAUGGUGACCUGGGUCACCAUGCGAUGUCUCCUCUCCUCUCUCCUUCCGAGUUCUUGGAUGUGGCCUACCAAAACAUCUAACAGCGUGGACGUAAAAGAUAAACUCCUGAUGACUACCUUUCUAUCAAGCUGUCUUCUCUGACACCAUACUGGCAAGGGAAGCGAGAUGCCACCUCAUUUCUGCCAGGUGGAGUGGAAGUUCGGAUUCUCCACUCAGUUUCUGUUGCUAGUCUGGCGAUGGGGAGAGGGAGGGGGGCCUCAUUCUGGUGGACUGGGCUGGCCGUUCAGGUUCCCUGCU
Miniopterus natalensis is the source of this 685-nucleotide non-coding RNA. NCBI's taxonomy places the organism in Eukaryota, Metazoa, Chordata, Mammalia, Chiroptera, Miniopteridae. The record is from RefSeq and is a predicted model, not a curated record.